Molecule: ribosomal RNA, 646 nt
Filed under: uncultured bacterium
Lineage: Bacteria
Description: bacterial SSU rRNA
Rfam family: Bacterial small subunit ribosomal RNA
Source: RNAcentral
UAAGGUAACGGCUUACCAAGGCUUUGAUGUUUAGGGGUCCUGAGAGGGUGGUCCCCCACACAGGUACUGAGACACGGACCAGACUCCUACGGGAGGCAGCAGUGAGGAAUAUUGGUCAAUGGGCGCAAGCCUGAACCAGCCAUCCCGCGUGCAGGAAGACGGCCCUAUGGGUUGUAAACUGCUUUUCCGAAAGGCGAAACUCAGCGACGUGUCGUUGAUUGACGGUAUUUCGGGAAUAAGCAUCGGCUAACUCCGUGCCAGCAGCCGCGGUAAUACGGAGGAUGCGAGCGUUAUCCGGAUUCAUUGGGUUUGAAGGGUGCGUAGGCGGACUAAUAAGUCAGUGGUGAAAUCCUGCAGCUUAACUGCAGAACUGCCAUUGAUACUGUUAGUCUUGAGUUUGGUUAAGGUAGGCGGAAUGUGUAAUGUAGCGGUGAAAUGCUUAGAUAUUACACAGAACACCAAUUGCGUAGGCAGCUUACUGGACCGACACUGACGCUGAGGCACGAAAGCGUGGGGAUCGAACAGGAUUAGAUACCCUGGUAGUCCACGCCGUAAACGAUGAUUACUCGCUGUUGGCGAUACACAGUCAGCGGCUAAGCAAAAGCAAUAAGUAAUCCACCUGGGGGAGUACGGCCGCAAGGUUGAA